GAUGAACGCUGGCGGCGUGCCUAAUACAUGCAAGUCGAGCGAACGGAUGAUAAGCUUGCUUCUCUGAUGUUAGCGGCUGACGGGUGAGUAACACGUAGAUAACCUACCUAUAAUACUUGGAGAACUUCGGGAAACCGGAGCUAAUACCAGAUAAUAUUUUGAACCGCAUGGUUCAAAAGUGAAAGACGGUCUUCCUGUCACUUAUAGAUGGAUCCGCGCUGCAUUAGCUAGUUGGUAAGGUAACGGCUUAACAAGGCAACGAUGCAUAGCCGACCUGAGAGGGUGAUCGGCCACCCUGGAAAUGAGACACGGUCCCGACUCCUAAGGGAGGCAGCAGUAGGGAAUCUUCCGCAAUGGGCGAAAGCCUGACGGAGCCAAGCCGGGUGAGUGAUGAAGGUCUUCGGAUCGUAAAACUCUGUUAUUAGGGAAGAACAUAUGUGUAAGUAACUGUGCACAUCUUGACGGUAACUAAUAAGAAAGCCACGGCUAACCACGUG
Molecule: ribosomal RNA, 497 nt
Filed under: uncultured bacterium
Lineage: Bacteria
Description: partial 16S ribosomal RNA
Rfam family: Bacterial small subunit ribosomal RNA
Source: RNAcentral